RNAcentral lists this ribosomal RNA (468 nucleotides) under uncultured bacterium. Its description in RNAcentral is "partial 16S ribosomal RNA". It matches the Rfam family "Bacterial small subunit ribosomal RNA", at positions 28 to 507 of the family's 1533-position model. The record is from RNAcentral.
GACGAACGCUGGCGGCGUGCUUAACACAUGCAAGUCGAACGGAAAGGCCCUGCUUUUGUGGGGUGCUCGAGUGGCGAACGGGUGUGUAACACGCGAGUAACCUGCCCUUGACUUUGGGAUAACUUCAGGAAACUGGGGCGCAUACCGGACAGGAGCUCCCGCUGCAUGGGGGGGGUUGGAAAGUUUCGGCGGUUGGGGCUGGAGUCGCGGCUUAUCAGCUUGUUUGUGGGGUAGUGGCUUACCAAGGCUUUGACGGGUAGCCGGCCUGAGAGGGUGACCGGCCACAUUGGGACUGAGAUACGGCCCAGACUCCUACGGGAGGCAGCAGUGGGGAAUAUUGCGCAAUGGGCGGAAGCCUGAUGCAGCAACGCCGCGUGCGGGAUGACGGCCUUCGGGUUGUAAACCGCUUUCGCCUGUGACGAAGCGUGAGUGACGGUAAUGGGUAAAGAAGCACCGGCUAACUACGUG